GUAGGUGGUUUAUUAAGUGAAUAGUGAAAGCUGGUGGCUCAACCAUACAGACUAUUAUUCAAACUGGUAGACUCGAGAGUAGUAGAGGUAACUGGAAUUUCUUGUGUAGGAGUGGAAUCCGUAGAUAUAAGAAGGAACACCAAUGGCGUAGGCAGGUUACUGGACUAUCUCUGACACUGAGGCACGAAAGCGUGGGGAGCGAACCGGAUUAGAUACCCGGGUAGUCCACGCCGUAAACGAUGGAUACUAGCUGUUGGAGGUAUCGACCCCUUCAGUAGCGAAGCUAACGCGUUAAGUAUCCCGCCUGUGGAGUACGGCCGCAAGGCUAAAACAUAAAGGAAUUGACGGGGACCCGCACAAGCGGUGGAUUAUGUUCUUUAAUUCGAUGAUAACCGAAGAACCUUACCAGGGCUUGACAUCUAGGGAAGGACUACGAAAGUAGUUUGUGCCUUUUUGGAACCCUAUGACAGGUGUUGCAUGGCCGUCGUCAGCUCGUGUCGUGAGAUGUUAGGUUAAGUCCUUCAACGAGCGCAACCCUUAUUGUCUGUUGUAUUUUUCAGGCAAGACUGCCCCGGCAACGGGGAGGAAGGAGGGGAUGAUGUCAGGUCAGUAUUACCCUUACGUCCUGGGCUAGAAACGUAAUACAAUGGCAAGUACAAUGCGCAGCGAAGCCGCGAGGUGAAGCAAAUCGCAUCAAAGCUUGUCCCAGUUCGGAUUGGAGGCUGAAACUCGCCUCCAUGAAGUCGGAAUCGCUAGUAAUCGCAGAUCAGCAAGCUGCGGUGAAUACGCUCCCGGGUCUUGUACACACCGCCCGUCAAACCAUGAAAGUGACCAACACCCGAAGUCCGAUUCGUCGGCCUAAGGUGGGGGGCAUGAUUGGGGUU
Molecule: ribosomal RNA, 884 nt
Filed under: uncultured Candidatus Saccharibacteria bacterium
Lineage: Bacteria; Candidatus Saccharimonadota
Description: bacterial SSU rRNA
Rfam family: Bacterial small subunit ribosomal RNA
Source: RNAcentral